CUGGGCGUAAAGAGCUCGUAGGUGGUUUGUCGCGUUGUUCGUGAAAACUCACAGCUUAACUGUGGGCGUGCGGGCGAUACGGGCAGACUAGAGUACUGCAGGGGAGACUGGAAUUCCUGGUGUAGCGGUGGAAUGCGCAGAUAUCAGGAGGAACACCGGCGGCGAAGGCGGGUCUCUGGGCAGUAACUGACGCUGAGGAGCGAAAGCGUGGGGAGCGAACAGGAUUAGAUACCCUGGUAGUCCACGCCGUAAACGGUGGGUACUAGGUGUGGGUUCCUUCCUUGGGAUCCGUGCCGUAGCUAACGCAUUAAGUACCCCGCCUGGGGAGUACGGCCGCAAGGCUAAAACUCAAAGGAAUUGACGGGGGCCCGCACAAGCGGCGGAGCAUGUGGAUUAAUUCGAUGCAACGCGAAGAACCUUACCUUGGGUUUGACAUGCACAGGACGCCGGCAGAGAUGUCGGUUCCCUUGUGGCCUGUGUGCAGGUGGUGCAUGGCUGUCAUCAGCUCGUGUCGUGAGAUGUUGGGUUAAGUCCCGCAACGAGCGCAACCCUUGUCCUAUGUUGCCAGCGGGUUAUGCCGGGGACUCGUAGGAGACUGCCGGGGUCAACUCGGAGGAAGGUGGGGAUGACGUCAAGUCAUCAUGCCCCUUAUGUCCAGGGCUUCACACAUGCUACAAUGGCCGGUACAAAGGGCUGCGAUGCCGUGAGGUGGAGCGAAUCCUUUCAAAGCCGGUCUCAGUUCGGAUCGGGGUCUGCAACUCGACCCCGUGAAGUCGGAGUCGCUA
Molecule: ribosomal RNA, 785 nt
Filed under: uncultured Mycobacterium sp.
Lineage: Bacteria; Bacillati; Actinomycetota; Actinomycetes; Mycobacteriales; Mycobacteriaceae
Description: bacterial SSU rRNA
Rfam family: Bacterial small subunit ribosomal RNA
Source: RNAcentral